This 253-nucleotide ribosomal RNA is filed under the name uncultured bacterium. RNAcentral's name for it is "partial 16S ribosomal RNA". It matches the Rfam family "Bacterial small subunit ribosomal RNA", at positions 524 to 776 of the family's 1533-position model. The record is from RNAcentral.
UACGGAGGGUGCGAGCGUUAAUCGGAAUUACUGGGCGUAAAGCGUGCGUAGGCGGCUCGUUAAGUCAGAUGUGAAGGCCCUGGGCUCAACCUGGGAACUGCAUUUGAAACUGGCGAGCUAGAGUUGAGUAGAGGGGAGUGGAAUUUCAGGUGUAGCGGUGAAAUGCGUAGAUAUCUGAAGGAACACCAGUGGCGAAGGCGACUCCCUGGACUCAAACUGACGCUGAGGUACGAAAGCGUGGGUAGCAAACAGG